This 328-nucleotide ribosomal RNA is filed under the name uncultured bacterium. RNAcentral describes it as "bacterial SSU rRNA". It matches the Rfam family "Bacterial small subunit ribosomal RNA", at positions 27 to 355 of the family's 1533-position model. The record is from RNAcentral.
GAUUGAACGCUGGCGGCAUGCUUUACACAUGCAAGUCGAGCGGCAGCGCGGGGGCAACCCCUGGCGGCGAGCGGCGAACGGGUGAGGAACACAUCGGAACGUGCCCCGGAGUGGGGGAUAACGCCGCGAAAGCGGCGCUAAUACCGCAUAUGCUCUGAGGAGGAAAGCGGGGGACCAGCAAUGGCCUCGCGCUCUGGGAGCGGCCGAUGUCCGAUUAGCAGUUGGUGGGGUAAUGGCCCACCAAGGCGACGAUCGGUAGCUGGUCUGAGAGGAUGAUCAGCCACACUGGGACUGAGACACGGCCCAGACUCCUACGGGAGGCAGCAGU